Schistosoma haematobium is the source of this 45-nucleotide non-coding RNA. NCBI's taxonomy places the organism in Eukaryota, Metazoa, Platyhelminthes, Trematoda, Strigeidida, Schistosomatidae. The record is from Rfam.
AUCCGAAUGACGAGUCCCAAACAGGACGAAACGCGCACACUGGAU